Molecule: ribosomal RNA, 470 nt
Filed under: uncultured organism
Description: partial 16S ribosomal RNA
Rfam family: Bacterial small subunit ribosomal RNA
Source: RNAcentral
ACUCCUGCGGGAGGCAGCAGUGGGGAAUAUUGCACAAUGGGCGCAAGCCUGAUGCAGCCAUGCCGCGUGUAUGAAGAAGGCCUUCGGGUUGUAAAGUACUUUCAGCGGGGAGGAAGGCGAUAAGGUUAAUAACCUUGUUGAUUGACGUUACCCGCAGAAGAAGCACCGGCUAACUCCGUGCCAGCAGCCGCGGUAAUACGGAGGGUGCAAGCGUUAAUCGGAAUUACUGGGCGUAAAGCGCACGCAGGCGGUCUGCCAAGUCGGAUGUGAAAUCCCCGGGCUCAACCUGGGAACUGCAUUCGAAACUGGCAGGCUAGAGUCUUGUAGAGGGGGGUAGAAUUCCAGGUGUAGCGGUGAAAUGCGUAGAGAUCUGGAGGAAUACCGGUGGCGAAGGCGGCCCCCUGGACAAAGACUGACGCUCAGGUGCGAAAGCGUGGGGAGCAAACAGGAUUAGAUACCCCUGUAGUCCC